RNAcentral lists this ribosomal RNA (429 nucleotides) under Bacteroidota bacterium. RNAcentral describes it as "Bacteroidetes bacterium partial 16S ribosomal RNA". It matches the Rfam family "Bacterial small subunit ribosomal RNA", at positions 355 to 776 of the family's 1533-position model. Lineage: Bacteria; Pseudomonadati; Bacteroidota. The record is from RNAcentral.
UAGGGAAUCUUCCGCAAUGGACGCAAGUCUGACGGAGCAACGCCGCGUGAGUGAAGAAGGAUUUCGGUUCGUAAAACUCUGUUGUUAGAGAAGAACAGCGCAUAGAGUAACUGUUAUGCGUGUGACGUUAUCUAACCAGAAAGCCACGGCUAACUACGUGCCAGCAGCCGCGGUAAUACGUAGGUGGCGAGCGUUGUCCGGAUUUAUUGGGCGUAAAGCGAGCGCAGGCGGUCAAUUAAGUCUGAUGUGAAAGCCCCCGACUCAACCGGGGAGGGUCAUUGGAGACUGGUUGACUUGAGUGCAGAAGAGGAGAGUGGAAUUCCAUGUGUAGCGGUGACAUGCGUAGAUAUAUGGAGGAACACCAGUGGCGAAGGCGACUCUCUGGUCUGUAACUGACGCUGAGGAUCGAAAGCGUGGGUAGCAAGCAGA